AACGCGAAGAACCUUACCUACCCUUGACAUGGCUGGAAUCCUUCAGAGAUGAGGGAGUGCUCGAAAGAGAACCAGUACACAGGUGCUGCAUGGCUGUCGUCAGCUCGUGUCGUGAGAUGUUGGGUUAAGUCCCGCAACGAGCGCAACCCUUGUCAUUAGUUGCUACGAAAGGGCACUCUAAUGAGACUGCCGGUGACAAACCGGAGGAAGGUGGGGAUGACGUCAAGUCCUCAUGGCCCUUAUGGGUAGGGCUUCACACGUCAUACAAUGGUACAUACAGAGGGCCGCCAACCCGCGAGGGGGAGCUAAUCCCAGAAAGUGUAUCGUAGUCCGGAUUGUAGUCUGCAACUCGACUACAUGAAGUUGGAAUCGCUAGUAAUCGCGGAUCAGCAUGUCGCGGUGAAUACGUUCCCGGGCCUUGUACACACCGUAGUAC
Molecule: ribosomal RNA, 436 nt
Filed under: uncultured bacterium
Lineage: Bacteria
Description: bacterial SSU rRNA
Rfam family: Bacterial small subunit ribosomal RNA
Source: RNAcentral